GACGACGCUGGCGGCGUGCCUAAUACAUGCAAGUCGAACGAGUGGCGGACGGGUGAGUAAAACGUGGGAACCUACCCAUCAGAGGGGGAUAACUUCUGGAAACGGUCGCUAAUACCGCAUACCAUCGGAUGUGCCCAGAUGGGAUUAGCUAGUAGGGGGGGUAAAGGCUCACCAAGCCGACGAUCCCUAGCUGGUCUGAGAGGAGGACCAGCCACACGGGAACUGAGACACGGUCCAGACUCCUACGGGAGGCAGCAGUGGGGAAUAUUGCACAAUGGGCGCAAGCCUGAGGCAGCCAUGCCGCGUGGAUGAAGAAGGCCUUCGGGUUGUAAAGUACUUUCAGCUGGGAGGCGUUACCCGCAGAAGAAGCACCGGCUAACUCCGUGCCAGCAGCCGCGGUAAUUC
RNAcentral lists this ribosomal RNA (405 nucleotides) under uncultured bacterium. RNAcentral's name for it is "partial 16S ribosomal RNA". It matches the Rfam family "Bacterial small subunit ribosomal RNA", at positions 33 to 526 of the family's 1533-position model. The record is from RNAcentral.